GGGGGUGUUCUGGUAUCGCCUGUAUAGUGAGUUCUCUGAUUGCGCUCCGGGGAUACUCUUUCACCCGUAAAACACUGGGUAAUAAAAUUAUCUGCAAACGAUAAUAGUUAUAUUCCAGCUGCUGCGUAAGCAGUCAGCUAGCGCCCACUGCAGACGUGUCUGUCGUGUGUAACUGGGUGUCAUAAAAAGCAGACUUACCUUGCUCUAGCCGUCUGAAGGAGUAAGGGAAACUUGCCAGACUUGGCCUGUUAGAAUCUUGUCUACUGGAGUCUAACAGGUGAGACGAAAAAGUAGGCUAUGAGUGUAGAUAUCAGGGAACGAACUAUGCAGUACGUGGGUUCGAUUCCCACCACCUCCACCA
Molecule: transfer-messenger RNA, 361 nt
Filed under: Halonatronomonas betaini
Lineage: Bacteria; Bacillati; Bacillota; Clostridia; Halanaerobiales; Halarsenatibacteraceae
Also listed under: 1 other name
Rfam family: transfer-messenger RNA
About the family: Bacterial tmRNA, also known as 10Sa RNA or SsrA, is named for its dual tRNA and mRNA-like properties. Its role is to liberate the mRNA from a stalled ribosome. To accomplish this part of the tmRNA is used as a reading frame that ends in a translation stop signal.
Source: Rfam by way of RNAcentral